This is a long non-coding RNA of Cynoglossus semilaevis (tongue sole), 577 nucleotides long. RefSeq lists it as uncharacterized. The transcript is spliced from 3 exons. The record is from RefSeq and is a predicted model, not a curated record. Lineage: Eukaryota; Metazoa; Chordata; Actinopteri; Pleuronectiformes; Cynoglossidae.
AUCUAAUUAAACAUGAACUGUCCAUCCAACAGAAAACAAUCGACGCUGCACCAUCCAGUUACAUCGCCCGGUUCAACUUGUUCAACAGCACAUAUCAGCUCUACACACACAGUUACCUUGGAAACGGCCUGUACGCAGCUCGGUUGGCUACGCUCGGAGCACUAGGAGCUGAUGGUCUAGAAUGGAAGAUCUUCAGAAGUUCCUGCCUCCCAAAAAAGUUCAGGGAAGAUGUGAGCUUUGGAGGAACCACCUACAAAGUUAGCGGGAUUCCAGACGGUGAGAUAAAAGCCCUCUGAGGUUUUGAUUGCCUUCCCAAGGCCUUGGAUUCAGCAAUGCGUGCAUUCCUUUUCUCAUUCUGGUACACAAUAGCUUACAGUAUUAUAAUUCUCCCAUGAGAACAUUUAUCUGCCGAAGUUUCUCCAACCUUGGCGCCAAAUGCAUGUUUUGUCAUCGUCUUUUCCCUCUUGAACAAUUAUAUUGUAGUCAACCUUGUAUUUAAAUGAAAGGAAAACUGUCAGUUAAGUUCACAAAUAAGGCAGUCACUCCCAUACCACAGUCAAGUAGCCAAAAGAUGCUG